This 442-nucleotide ribosomal RNA is filed under the name uncultured bacterium. Its description in RNAcentral is "partial 16S ribosomal RNA". It matches the Rfam family "Bacterial small subunit ribosomal RNA", at positions 338 to 795 of the family's 1533-position model. The record is from RNAcentral.
CCUACGGUAGGCAGCAGUGGGGGAUAUUGGACAAUGGGGGGAACCCUGAUCCAGCGACGCAGCGUGAGUGAAGAAGUAUCUCGGUAUGUAAAGCCCUAUCAGCAGGGAAGAAGAAAUGACGGUACCUGAGUCAGAAGCCCCGGCUAACUACGUGCCAGCAGCCGCGGUUAUACGUAGGGCGCCAGCUAUAUCCGGAAUUACUUGGUGUAAAGGGAGCGUAGACGGUGAUGGAAGUCUGGGGUGAAAGGCGGGGGCCCAACCCCCGGACUGCUCUUGAAACUAUGUGACUGGAGUGCAUGAGAGGUGAGCGGAAUGCGUAGUGUAGCGGUGAAAUGCGUAGAUAUCAGGCGGAACACCAGUGGCGAAGGCGGCUCACUGGACUGUAACUGACGUUGAGGCUCGAAAGCGUGGGGAGCAAACAGGAUUAGAUACCCGAGUAGUC